Non-coding RNA from Gossypium raimondii (Peruvian cotton), 144 nucleotides. The record is from Rfam. NCBI's taxonomy places the organism in Eukaryota, Viridiplantae, Streptophyta, Magnoliopsida, Malvales, Malvaceae.
UGUUAAAAAUUUUGGCUAUUUGUACUGUUAAAAACUGACAUGACUGAUGGAACAACUAGGCAAUGACACGUGGCAUGCCACCUAUACCUCAUGCUGAUGUACAUGGAUCAUUUUUAAUAAUAAAAAUAGAUGGAAUUUUUAAAG